GACGAACGCUGGCGGCGUGCUUAACACAUGCAAGUCGAGCGGUAAGGCCCUUCGGGGUACACGAGCGGCGAACGGGUGAGUAACACGUGAGUAAUCUGCCCAUCACUUCGGGAUAACUCCGGGAAACCGGUGCUAAUACCGAAUAUGACCACUUCAGGCAUCUGAUGGCGGUGGAAAGUUCCGGCGGUGAUGGAUGAGCUCGCGGCCUAUCAGCUUGUUGGUGGGGUAGUGGCCUACCAAGGCUUCGACGGGUAGCCGGCCUGAGAGGGUGACCGGCCACACUGGGACUGAGACACGGCCCAGACUCCUACGGGAGGCAGCAGUGGGGAAUAUUGGACAAUGGGCGAAAGCCUGAUCCAGCAACGCCGCGUGAGGGAUGACGGCCUUCGGGUUGUAAACCUCUUUCAGCAGGGACGAAGCGCAAGUGACGGUACCUGCAGAAGAAGCACCGGCCAACUACGUG
RNAcentral lists this ribosomal RNA (463 nucleotides) under uncultured bacterium. RNAcentral's name for it is "partial 16S ribosomal RNA". It matches the Rfam family "Bacterial small subunit ribosomal RNA", at positions 28 to 507 of the family's 1533-position model. The record is from RNAcentral.